RNAcentral lists this ribosomal RNA (440 nucleotides) under uncultured bacterium. RNAcentral describes it as "partial 16S ribosomal RNA". It matches the Rfam family "Bacterial small subunit ribosomal RNA", at positions 338 to 795 of the family's 1533-position model. The record is from RNAcentral.
CCUACGGGUGGCAGCAGUGGGGAAUAUUGCACAAUGGGGGAAACCCUGAUGCAGCGACGCCGCGUGAGUGAAGAAGUAUUUCGGUAUGUAAAGCUCUGUCAGCAGGGAAGAAAAUGCCGGUACCUGACCAAGAAGCCCCGGCUAACUACGUGCCAGCAGCCGCGGUAAUACGUAGGGGGCAAGCGUUAUCCGGAUUUACUGGGGGUAAAGGGGGCGUAGACGGCAAGGCAAGUCUGGAGUGAAAGGCGGGGGGUCAACCCCCGGGGUGCGCUGGAAAAUGCCAGGCUUGAGUGCAGGAGAGGUAAGUGGAAUGCGUGGUGUAGCGGUGAAAUGCGUAGAUAUUAGGAGGAACACCAGUGGCGAAGGCGGCUUACUGGACUGUAACUGACGUUGAGGCUCGAAAGCGUGGGGAGCAAACAGGAUUAGAUACCCUAGUAGUC